This is a long non-coding RNA of Trichechus manatus latirostris (Florida manatee), 483 nucleotides long. RefSeq lists it as uncharacterized. The record is from RefSeq and is a predicted model, not a curated record. NCBI's taxonomy places the organism in Eukaryota, Metazoa, Chordata, Mammalia, Sirenia, Trichechidae. The transcript has 2 exons.
GGCGGAAGGAGGCAGCUUGGUACUUUCGUUUUCCUGCCCAGAGUCUGCGGAGAGGCCGACUUACACUAGGGUACCGCGGCGGUUGGACCCCGGACCAAGAAGAGGCUACCCGGAGCGCUCGGAGAGGCAGCACCUGCGCGUUUCCGCCGCUGCACCCGCGAGCACCCCUGUUCACCCCUUCCGGGCUUGGCUCGCAGACAAGUUUUCCUAUUCCCUGUGCCACCCGCGGUAACUAAGACGUUCGCACUCCUGCAUGCAAACCCGACAGUCUUGGCACCUAACGAGCUGAGUGUAGCUGCUGCUUUGGUUGGAUCCUCAGCCUCUCAUACCGUGCCAGGCACAAGGAGGCAGUUAAGUAAAUGUUCAUGGAAAAGAAUGAAUGAGCACAUGAAUCUGAAAUCGUAAUGACGUGUAUAUGUUUAAAGAUAAAGGCGCGUAAAUAGCUUCUUGGUAUUUAAAAAGUGAUACUUAGUUCCUGCAUAC